Gasterosteus aculeatus aculeatus (three-spined stickleback) is the source of this 2846-nucleotide long non-coding RNA. NCBI's taxonomy places the organism in Eukaryota, Metazoa, Chordata, Actinopteri, Perciformes, Gasterosteidae. The record is from Ensembl.
UGCCGCUGCAGAUCUACUAUCUCAUAACGAACAGUCAACUCAGAGAGCGGAAAAGGGAUGAUGCUUUUUGACCAAAGGGCGGAGGACCGAAACCAAAGGAGGUGGCCAUUCCAGUUGGACACAAAUUACGCUUACUGACAGACGAGAGGAGUGUGGGAGAGUGGCUACAAGUCAAGGGUGGAGGACUUUGACCUGCGGGAGCAACGAUAACUCAAAGAGACGAAGAGACAGUAAGAGAAAUGAUGAUCGAAGAAGAAAGGCUUUUGGCCUGGGAACGCGCGUUUCCCUUCGGACCCGCGAGUUUGGCCGCUCCGCUCGAGAUGACUUCACACGUUUUCCACUGCAGGGAUGGAUGGCUAUAAUGAGAGUUCCAGCGUCAAGCUAUUUUUAAGGAUGGAGACAGGCUGUUAUUGCGUUGGAGGUAGCGAGGCCUUUGGGGUGGUGGAUUAUUCCACAGACCUGCACUUCAGACUUCACGGCUUCUGAAAAUGACUGUCCUACCGAGCCCUCCCAAUGGUCCCCCCAUAAUCACAAAGGGCAGCCAUCCAUAAAUUAAUGUGGUAUCUGCUUAAACUGUCAUCUCACCAAUAUUAGGUGAACCCAAGUUCAAGUAUCGACAUCGUAUAAUUGGGAAGAAAUCGGAUGUCUGAAAGCCUCAUUCCUCUCUAGGGUUCACAGAAAUUGGAUUUGUUCAUCCAUGCCUCACAGAUAUGCGCUUUCAACAAAAAGCAUGUUUUCCCAAGUAUGCGUAAGACCAGGAACCUUUUUCCAUAAUGUUUCUCUUCUACCAGGAAUUUCUCUUAUCUUGACUAUUCACGGGAGUAGGUGUGAUAUCAUGACCAAUGAGCUUGUACAGGGAUCAGCCAGCCCAGUCAGUCCUCAUUGAUUUUACUUGAACACAAAUCUCAAGCUUUUACUAAACAUAACUAAUCUGCUUCCCUGAAGCUGAGGUCCUCGCAGAGUCUUUCGGAUGGAUACAUACUGAUGGUGAGGAUGGGGAUGAAGAGAAGCUUUAACUGAAGUAAUAUGUAGGAGAUGAAGAAGAUACAUGAAAACGUGUAUAGGCCAUUUCAGCAGAUAUUUGUUGAUACUAAGUAUUUGUUAUCAGGUACAAUGCUGAAUUUUACACAGAAACUCUAUAAGCAUAGAGACCCGUACAAAAACAUAUGAGAAAACAAUUACUGAGUCGUAAGGAUAUCAUAGAAUUACAGCAUAUUGCACGUCUUACCAGAUACUUAUCAGAUACUCCUUAUCUUUUGGAGGAAAGAUGAGUUUCAGCCUGGCUCAGUAGAAACCAAAGGCUGCACUGCGAGUUAGAGGGUAAUUAAACAUACAGUAUGCAUACUUUUGGAAAGCUAGCCAAGACAACAAAUAGAAAAAAAAGAGAAAAAUAAGGUCAAAGUUAUCUCCUUAAGCUUUAAAAUGGAGGAGAAAACCUGUGUUUUAUACAAUAAUUUAGGGACCUUAUUAGAAAGUGAACUGUAACAUUUUUCCUUUUGCAUUUAGAUGUAAUGAAAUAUUUAAGCAAUAGGGUACGAGAGGCUUUAUCGCCCAUUAAUGUAACAGUUCGGUGGUGUUGUUAGGCUUGAUGCGCAGCUUUUCAGCACAAAAUAGCAUUAGCCACCAAACGUUGUGUAUCGCAAAUCAAUAGUCUGGAGAAAAAUAGUGUCCAUACGUCCACGUAAACAGGAUUGGGUCUCCUGGCAAGAUCUCGCACCAUCUCAUUCAUUCACAUCGCUCGUGAUGUCCAAGUGAAUUGUUCGGUUGCGAAAACUCUCAUUGCCCGAAACCAAUCCUCUGGGGAAUUUCCGGUCUUUUUUCGCUGAUCACCACUGAGCUAAAAGCUUUAAUGUCAACUAACCGUUGCGCUAAAUCUAACCUGUUACUUUGAGUGCGCAGUGAUAUGGAACGCUCGGGUCAAUGUGAACAGCAGCUGUACAUUAUCGCUGAGUAAGGCACACUCACUCUGCAGUGACUCACUCUCAACCAAUCAGAACGCUGGAUUUCAUCUAAGUAUUAUAAUGAAAAUUAAACAUGGUUUGAAACAGGAAAUGCUAAAUAAGGGUAUAUAUAUACAGAUACUAUUUCACACUUCUAGGUGGAACUGCAUUGGAAUAUAACUAACCAUAUACUGUCAAGAAUGCUUAAAGCUACUUAAGUGUGGAAAUCAAGCCCCUAUCAAUUCUUAGUUUCAGUCCGGAAGCCUGAAACCCUUUCAACGUUUUUAGAGAAGGGUUAAGACCUUCCUCUGUGAUAACUUUAUACGUGAGGCUGGCUUAGACUUGCCUCAUGGAAUUUCCUAUUAUCACUCCACUAUCUACUCCUCUCCAUCACCAUCUGAAUGCAUUCUCAUCUUGCAAUUGUUCAUAGAACUGGGUUACACCUGGAUCUUGAUAACGCCAGCUCCCGCGGCCCUGCUUGAAACAACAGUCAUAUUUCACUACUGCGAUUGCUACUAUUGUCACUGCAUUAUUUCAUUUAGUUAACAUUAUUAUUGGUAGUAUUUGUCAUAUUUAUAUUAUUACCUUUCUUAUAACUGCUGUAAAAAUAAGUAACACCUUAUUAGAUAUGCACCAAUACUGUUGGUAUUUUCAUUUCUUCUAUUUGCAUUAUAGCUUUUUUGCUUCAGUUGUUUUGGCUCUUGCUGUGGCUCUUUCUGUUUAAAACAUGGUGUUUGAUUAAAUAUUGAAAUGCAUUUGACUUUGUUCUCAACAAAUACAGGAGUUGCGGUCAGAACUUUACAAAGGACGAUGGGAGAAGAUGCAACCAGCAGUGCUCUGAUAAAGUUUGAAAUAUUUCCAGUUAGAGCCUUCUUCAGUGUUUCCUUUAACAUGUCCUUUACUCGC